ACUCCUACGGGAGGCAGCAGUGGGGAAUAUUGCACAAUGGGGGAAACCCGUGAUGCAGCCAUGCCGCGUGUGUGAAGAAGGCCUUCGGUUGUAAAGCACUUUCAGUAGGGAGGAAGGUAGUGUAGUUAACACCUGCAUUAUUUGUACGUUACCUACAGAAGAAGCACCGGCUAACUCCGUGCCAGCAGCCGCGGUAAUACGGAGGGUGCGAGCGUUAAUCGGAAUUACUGGGCGUAAAGCGCAUGCAGGCGGCCUGUUAAGUCAGAUGUGAAAGCCCGGGGCUUAACCUCGGAAUUGCAUUUGAAACUGGCAGGCUAGAGUCUUGUAGAGGGGUUAGAAUUUCAGGUGUAGCGGUGAAAUGCGUAGAGAUCUGAAGG
This 377-nucleotide ribosomal RNA is filed under the name uncultured bacterium. RNAcentral's name for it is "bacterial SSU rRNA". It matches the Rfam family "Bacterial small subunit ribosomal RNA", at positions 335 to 704 of the family's 1533-position model. The record is from RNAcentral.